This 879-nucleotide ribosomal RNA is filed under the name uncultured archaeon. RNAcentral's name for it is "bacterial SSU rRNA". It matches the Rfam family "Archaeal small subunit ribosomal RNA", at positions 1 to 881 of the family's 1478-position model. The record is from RNAcentral.
UUCCGGUUGAUCCUGCCGGAGGUCAUUGCUAUUGGAGUCCGAUUUAGCCAUGCUAGUCGUACGAAUUUAGAUUCGUGGCGAAUAGCUCAGUAACACGUGGCCAAACUACCCACUGGAGCGCGAUACCCUCGGGAAACUGAGGCUAAUAGCGCAUACAGCUCGAUGCCUGGAACUGGCUCGAGCCUGAAAUGCUCCGGCGCCAGUGGAUGUGGCUGCGGCCGAUUAGGUAGACGGUGGGGUAACGGCCCACCGUGCCGAUAAUCGGUACGGGUCAUGAGAGUGAGAGCCCGGAGACGGAAUCUGAGACAAGAUUCCGGGCCCUACGGGGCGCAGCAGGCGCGAAACCUUUACACUGCACGCCAGUGCGAUAAGGGGACUCCAAGUGCGAGGGCAUAUCGUCCUCGCUUUUUCCUACCGUAAGGUGGUAGGCGAAUAAGAGCUGGGCAAGACCGGUGCCAGCCGCCGCGGUAAUACCGGCAGCUCGAGUGAUGACCGCUAUUAUUGGGCCUAAAGCGUCCGUAGCCGGCCAGACAAGUCUAUCGGGAAAUCUCCCCGCUUAACGGGGAGGCGUCCGGUGGAAACUGUUUGGCUUGGGACCGGAAGACCAGAGGGGUACGUCUGGGGUAGGAGUGAAAUCCCGUAAUCCUGGACGGACCACCGGUGGCGAAAGCGCCUCUGGAAGACGGAUCCGACGGUGAGGGACGAAAGCUCGGGUCACGAACCGGAUUAGAUACCCGGGUAGUCCGAGCCGUAAACGAUGUCUGCUAGGUGUGCCACAGGCUACGAGCCUGUGGUGUGCCGUAGGGAAGCCGUGAAGCAGACCGCCUGGGAAGUACGUCCGCAAGGAUGAAACUUAAAGGAAUUGGCGGGGGAGCACAA